GGUUGUAGCUCAGAGGUAGAGUGUUCGCCUAGCAUGUGUGAGACCCUGGGUUCAAUCCUCUGCACCA
RNAcentral lists this transfer RNA (67 nucleotides) under Marmota monax (woodchuck). RNAcentral describes it as "tRNA.Ala". The record is from RNAcentral. Lineage: Eukaryota; Metazoa; Chordata; Mammalia; Rodentia; Sciuridae.